Molecule: ribosomal RNA, 253 nt
Filed under: uncultured bacterium
Lineage: Bacteria
Description: partial 16S ribosomal RNA
Rfam family: Bacterial small subunit ribosomal RNA
Source: RNAcentral
GACAGAGGUGCCGAGCGUUAGGCGGAAUCACUGGGCUUAAAGCGUGUGUAGGCGGGCCGCCUAGUGCCUUGUGAAAUCCCCCGGCUCAACCGGGGAACGGCUGGGCAGACUGGCGGCCUUGGGCCAACUAGGGGUCAUCGGAACAAGCGGUGGAGCGGUGAAAUGCGUAGAUAUCGCUUGGAACGCCCGCGGCGAAAGCGGAUGACUGGGGUUGUGCCGACGCUGAGACACGAAAGCCAGGGGAGCGAACGGG